GAUGAACGCUGGCGGCGUGCUUAACACAUGCAAGUCGAACGAUGAAGCCCAGCUUGCUGGGUGUACUAGUGGCGAACGGGUGAGUAACACGUGAGUAACCCGCCCUUGACUCUUUGAUAUGCCUUGGAAACUGGGUCUAAUACUGCAUAUGACAUCUCCUCGCACGGUGUGGGGUGGGGAGAUUUGGUGGUCUUGGAUGGACUCGCGGCGUAUCAGCUUGUUGGUGGGGUAGUGGCUCACCAAGGCGACGACGGGUAGCCGGCCUGAGAGGGUGACCGGCCACACUGGGACUGAGAGACGGCCCAGACUCCUACGGGAGGCAGCAGUGGGGAAUAUUGCACAAUGGGCGGAAGCCUGAUGCAGCGACGCCGCGUGAGGGAUGACGGCCUUCGGGUUGUAAACCUCUUUCGGUAGGGAAGAAGCGUGAGUGACGGUAACUGGAGAAGAAGCACCGGCUAACUACGUG
RNAcentral lists this ribosomal RNA (466 nucleotides) under uncultured bacterium. RNAcentral describes it as "partial 16S ribosomal RNA". It matches the Rfam family "Bacterial small subunit ribosomal RNA", at positions 28 to 507 of the family's 1533-position model. The record is from RNAcentral.